GGGUUGCUUGAGAGUGCAGCCUAAAUUUGGUGGUAAACUCCAUCUAAAGCUAAAUAUUGAUCAGUGACCGAUAGCAAACAAGUACCGUGAGGGAAAGAUGAAAAGAACCUUGAAAAGGGGGUUAAAAGUACGUGAAAUUGUUAUUAGGAAAGCACUUAAUCUCAUUGUGGAUUAAAUCAGUCUGUUUCGGCAGAUACUGUUUUAAUUAGUUAUGAUCAGUUAAGGUUGAUAAAGAAAAUUUGUGACAAGGUAUUAGUGUAGUGCUAAACUUACAGGUCACUUAUUAUUUGUCGAUAUUGACUGAGGAAUGCUACUUAAUCUUUUCUGGUUAAUAGUUUAUGGAGUUAAGCUAAACAACAUGUUGAUUAGUUUAAUUAAAGUAAUCUAUUGAUUUUAAAACUUGAGUACAGGAUCAUAAUUAAAUGAUAUUAAAUGACCCGUCUUGA
This 446-nucleotide ribosomal RNA is filed under the name Leptogenys sp. ACJ4092. RNAcentral describes it as "partial 28S ribosomal RNA". It matches the Rfam family "Eukaryotic large subunit ribosomal RNA", at positions 267 to 657 of the family's 3401-position model. Lineage: Eukaryota; Metazoa; Arthropoda; Insecta; Hymenoptera; Formicidae. The record is from RNAcentral.